This 515-nucleotide ribosomal RNA is filed under the name uncultured bacterium. Its description in RNAcentral is "partial 16S ribosomal RNA". It matches the Rfam family "Bacterial small subunit ribosomal RNA", at positions 28 to 523 of the family's 1533-position model. The record is from RNAcentral.
GAUGAACGCUGGCGGCGUGCCUAAUACAUGCAAGUCGAGCGAAUGGAUUAAGAGCUUGCUCUUAUGAAGUUAGCGGCGGACGGGUGAGUAACACGUGGGUAACCUGCCCAUAAGACUGGGAUAACUCCGGGAAACCGGGGCUAAUACCGGAUAACAUUUUGAACCGCAUGGUUCGAAAUUGAGAGGCGGCUUCGGCUGUCACUUAUGGAUGGACCCGCGUCGCAUUAGCUAGUUGGUGAGGUAACGGCUCACCAAGGCAACGAUCCGUAGCCGACCUGAGAGGGUGAUCGGCCACACUGGGACUGAGACACGGCCCAGACUCCUACGGGAGGCAGCAGUAGGGAAUCUUCCGCAAUGGACGAAAGUCUGACGGAGCAACACCGCGUGAGUGAUGAAGGCUUUCGGGUCGUAAAACUCUGUUGUUAGGGAAGAACAAGUGCUAGUUGAAUAAGCUGGCACCUUGACGGUACCUAACCAGAAAGCCACGGCUAACUACGUGCCAGCCGCCGCGGUAA